GAAUGUUUUCACUCCAUUUGGUUUACAACGAUGAAAUACAAAGAACAUGCGAUCACCGUAAAGGACGCCAUAACACUGAUAUGGAUAAAAUAUAAUUCUUGCAGUACGGUUACUGUGGUACGGUUUCGAGAUUCAAACACCCCACCCCCGUAUAACGUGUUCACUGUACAGAGUGUGAUAGAGGCAUAAUAAAUAUGCCGGAAAUUUGUCCGCCUAUUGUUUUAAUUUGUAGUUAAAUAAAAAGUAAAUAAUUUUUAAGAAUUAA
This is a long non-coding RNA of Ceratina calcarata, 265 nucleotides long. RefSeq lists it as uncharacterized. The transcript has 2 exons. Lineage: Eukaryota; Metazoa; Arthropoda; Insecta; Hymenoptera; Apidae. The record is from RefSeq and is a predicted model, not a curated record.